Triticum aestivum (bread wheat) is the source of this 1504-nucleotide long non-coding RNA. RefSeq lists it as uncharacterized. The record is from RefSeq and is a predicted model, not a curated record. The transcript has 6 exons. Lineage: Eukaryota; Viridiplantae; Streptophyta; Magnoliopsida; Poales; Poaceae.
CCCUAUCAACCAGUCCCCCAUACCACGCGUCCAUCCUCCUCCCCCGCUCCCCACGCAGCCGCCGCCUCUCCCUCACCAUUCCCAUCUCGCCAGAACCGCAGCUCCCGUAGUCCUUCCCGGCCAACUGAGGAGCCCCCAUCCCAGCCCCACGCCGGGGUUCAGCGGCAUGAGAGGAAAGGAUCGACGAUGACCCAGUAAAGAGGAUGAGAGAUCGAGGAGGGAGGGUGUGGUCGCAGAGGAGAGGGGAGACGUAGGGCGGUGGAGGUCAGGCACCGGCACCGGAGACGCAGAUCCGUGGUAGAGCCAGAGAGGUCACGCUGGUCGGCAAGGAUGUCCUACCCUGUGCACGAGGAGAAGGGCGGCGAGGAUGUGCUUCUCUAUGCACGACCGUCGAAGUGCAGCAUCAUUGUGAUGUAUUUUCCUGUGGCUUUCUCCAUUAAUAUGUUUCUUCUCAACGAUCAUAUCAAUCUGGCUAGCGUUUGGACAUGUGAUUGGUUGAGGUUAACGAUUGGUACUACAAGGAGAGGUGCAACUAUUAUUUUGAUUUUGGGCUUUUGGUAGAUUUGAUUUAUCAUGGUUAAAGCACUGGUAAUGGCGCAGGUUAACGAUUGGUACUACAAGGAGAGCUUAUGAUACAAAUGUGAUUACACUAAUCAGUUGUUAAACAGGCUACUGCCAUGCUGCCUCUUCCUCAUAUUGGUAUAGGAGCACACACUGAUCCGAUAAACAGGAGUGAAGUAGGCAAUGCCUUGUAUAGUGGCUGCUGCCUCUGGUCUCCUCACCAUUAGUUUUUAAAGGUGGCAACAUCAGUGAUUUCUUGAUGAUCAUGUGAAGCUUGUGGGUUCAAAAUGGAUAAUGCAGUGAAAAAGAAGUCUGGGUCAAGAAAACAUGGACAUGUUGAGUACACGUGUACAUCUGUAUGCCCUUGGUACCUGUGUGGAAGGGCAGCUAACGAAUUUCCACAAGGCAAGGUACAAGCCUGCACAAGGAUUGCACAGAAUGGGUGAAACGAGAGACCUCGAGAGGGCAAAUCCACUUGCUCUUCCUUUACAUUGAACAUGUGGGAAAUCAGUGGUGUUAGAAGAAAAAAGAGGAGAAAAAAAUGUCAGGGUCAAUUCAUGAAAAUUCGUUACAUGAAUCAGGGACUAUAUGAUACUAUACCUGAACUUAUUGGAGAAGAACACAGACUUUCCAACUCUUGAGAGGGCAUGCCUCUUAACUAUCAGCAUAGUGAUGUCGAUGUAUUACCUUUUUCUGAAUAUGCAAUAACUAUUUAUUCUCUUUUGAUAUUGUUCACGUCAGUCUUGGGAGGUAUCUUCCAAGUUUUAAUGGCUGUAAUCCGUGGUCCUGAGAUUCAUAGAGUUUGUGGUGACGCUUCUGUUGAGCAACUACCUGAGAAAAUGUUAUGUGUAUUUUUGUGUCAUAUGGUUGCUUCAAAAAAAAUAAUCAGCAGACACAAAAUAUGUAACUGAUGAUUACCGAAAUCGGCCUUACUAAGCAAAUA